CGCGUAGGCGGUGCGGUAAGUCACCUGUGAAAUCCCCGGGCUUAACUCGGGCCUGCAGGCGAAACUGCCGUGCUCGAGGGUGGGAGAGGUGCGUGGAAUUCCCGAUGUAGCGGUGAAAUGCGUAGAUAUCGGGAGGAACACCUGUGGCGAAAGCGGCGCACUGGACCACUUCUGACGCUGAGGCGCGAAAGCUAGGGGAGCAAACAGGAUUAGAUACCCUGGUAGUCCUAGCCCUAAACCAUGAUUGCUUGGUGUGAUCGGUAUCCAAUCCGAUCGUGCCGCAGCUAACGCGAUAAGCAAUCCGCCUGGGGAGUACGGUCGCAAGGCUGAA
RNAcentral lists this ribosomal RNA (331 nucleotides) under uncultured bacterium. RNAcentral describes it as "bacterial SSU rRNA". It matches the Rfam family "Bacterial small subunit ribosomal RNA", at positions 568 to 898 of the family's 1533-position model. The record is from RNAcentral.